RNAcentral lists this ribosomal RNA (585 nucleotides) under Triticum aestivum (bread wheat). RNAcentral's name for it is "partial small subunit ribosomal RNA". The record is from RNAcentral. Lineage: Eukaryota; Viridiplantae; Streptophyta; Magnoliopsida; Poales; Poaceae.
AUGCAGCAUUCUAAAUCUACGGAUCUGUUCAGUGCUAUUAUCAACACUCUUGGCCUUAGAGAGAUGUAUAUGAGUGGGGGCCAAUAUACUUGGUCCAAUAACCAAUCACAUCCUACAUUUGAGAAGUUGGAUAGGGUGGUCAUUUCUGACUCCUGGGAACGCUUAUUCCCAUUGGCAUCUUUAAGAAAGUUGGUCAGAGAGCUUUCUGACCACAACCCUCUUCUUCUGUACACUGAUGAGGAGAAGAGGGAACCUACCAAGGCUCGAGAGUUUCGUUUCGAUCUCUCAUGGGUGAAAGAUGAUAGGUUCCUUGCCCUGGUGACUAAGAUUUGGAGUAGGAAGGUUGCAGCCUCGGACCCCAUUGACAUCCUGAAUAUUAAACUUAAGAGGUUUAAGUCAUAUUUCAAAGGAUGGGGCUCGGACAAAUUUGGACAUGCCAAAAAACGUAAAGAAGAUCUGAGGAUCGAACUGGAAUUAUUGGAAGAAGAAGAAGAGGGUGGCCCUUUGUCUCCUGAGAUUUACAAUAGAAAGGUGGAUGUUGAACUUUGUGAACUGUUAGCCGCGGAGGAAAUCUAUUGGUUGUAG